This 468-nucleotide ribosomal RNA is filed under the name uncultured bacterium. RNAcentral's name for it is "partial 16S ribosomal RNA". It matches the Rfam family "Bacterial small subunit ribosomal RNA", at positions 28 to 507 of the family's 1533-position model. The record is from RNAcentral.
GACGAACGCUGGCGGCGUGCUUAAUACAUGCAAGUCGAACGGAAAGGCCCUGCUUUUGUGGGGUGCUCGAGUGGCGAACGGGUGAGUAACACGUGAGUAACCUGCCCUUGACUUUGGGGUAACUUCAGGAAACUGGGGCUAAUACCGGAUAGGAGCUCCUGCUGCAUGGUGGGGGUUGGAAAGUUUCGGCGGUUGGGGAUGGACUCGCGGCUUAUCAGCUUGUUGGUGGGGUAGUGGCUUACCAAGGCUUUGACGGGUAGCCGGCCUGAGAGGGUGACCGGCCACAUUGGGACUGAGAUACGGCCCAGACUCCUACGGGAGGCAGCAGUGGGGAAUAUUGCACAAUGGGCGGAAGCCUGAUGCAGCAACGCCGCGUGCGGGAUGACGGCCUUCGGGUUGUAAACCGCUUUCGCCUGUGACGAAGCGUGAGUGACGGUAAUGGGUAAAGAAGCACCGGCUAACUACGUG